RNAcentral lists this transfer RNA (72 nucleotides) under Camelus bactrianus (Bactrian camel). It matches the Rfam family "tRNA". From Rfam's summary of the family: Transfer RNA (tRNA) molecules are approximately 80 nucleotides in length. Their secondary structure includes four short double-helical elements and three loops (D, anti-codon, and T loops). Further hydrogen bonds mediate the characteristic L-shaped molecular structure. tRNAs have two regions of fundamental functional importance: the anti-codon, which is responsible for specific mRNA codon recognition, and the 3' end, to which the tRNAs corresponding amino acid is attached (by aminoacyl-tRNA synthetases). tRNAs cope with the degeneracy of the genetic code in two manners: having more than one tRNA (with a specific anti-codon) for a particular amino acid; and 'wobble' base-pairing, i.e. permitting non-standard base-pairing at the 3rd anti-codon position. RNAcentral also lists the same sequence under 2 other names. The record is from Rfam by way of RNAcentral. Lineage: Eukaryota; Metazoa; Chordata; Mammalia; Artiodactyla; Camelidae.
GAAGGUAUACCUGAAUGGUAAAGCACAUGCUUAGCCUGCAUGAGAUCCUGGGUUCAAUCCCAAGUACCUCCA